This 81-nucleotide ribosomal RNA is filed under the name Juniperus phoenicea (Phoenician juniper). RNAcentral describes it as "partial 26S ribosomal RNA". It matches the Rfam family "Eukaryotic large subunit ribosomal RNA", at positions 1 to 78 of the family's 3401-position model. Lineage: Eukaryota; Viridiplantae; Streptophyta; Pinopsida; Cupressales; Cupressaceae. The record is from RNAcentral.
CCGCGUCCCCAAGUCAGGCGUGAAUACCCGCUGAGUUUAAGCAUAUCACUAAGCGGAGGAAAAGAAACUUACCAGGAUCCC